AGAGUUUGAUCCUGGCUCAGGAUGAACGCUGGCGGCGUGCCUAAUACAUGCAAGUCGAACGAAGCGAUUUGGGAAAUUUAUUUUUCAGAUUGACUGAGUGGCGAACGGGUGAGUGAGACAUAAGUAAUCUGCCGUAAAGACUGGGAUAACUUUGAGAAAUUAAAGCUAAGACCGGAUAGGAAUUAUUGAGGCAUCUUAAUAAUUUUAAAGGGGCUUAUGGCCUUGUUAUACGAUGAGCUUAUGGCGCAUUAGCUAGUUGGUAAGGUAAUGGCUUACCAAGGCGAUGAUGCGUAGCCGGCCUGAGAGGGUGACCGGCCACACUGGGACUGAGACACGGCCCAGACUCCUACGGGAGGCAGCAGUAGGGAAUUUUCGGCAAUGGGGGCAACCCUGACCGAGCGACGCCGCGUGAGUGAAGACGGUCUUCGGAUUGUAAAGCUCUGUUAUCAGGGAAGAAUAAGGUUAUCAGGAAAUGGAUAAUCGAUGACGGCACCUGAUCAGAAAGCCACGGCUAACUACGUGCCAGCAGCCGCGGUAAUACGUAGGUGGCGAGCGUUAUCCGGAAUUAUUGGGCGUAAAGGGUGCGUAGGCGGCUAAUUAAGUACAAGGUUAAAGUUCAGAGCUCAACUCUGUGAUGCCUUGUAAACUGGUUGGCUAGAGUACAGGAGAGGUGAGUGGAAUUCCAUGUGUAGCGGUAAAAUGCGUAGAGAUAUGGAGGAACACCAGUGGCGAAGGCGGCUCACUGGCCUGUAACUGACGCUGAGGCACGAAAGCGUGGGGAGCAAAUAGGAUUAGAUACCCUAGUAGUCCAC
RNAcentral lists this ribosomal RNA (812 nucleotides) under uncultured bacterium. RNAcentral describes it as "bacterial SSU rRNA". It matches the Rfam family "Bacterial small subunit ribosomal RNA", at positions 8 to 798 of the family's 1533-position model. The record is from RNAcentral.